RNAcentral lists this long non-coding RNA (506 nucleotides) under Rosa chinensis. RNAcentral describes it as "sRNA RchiOBHm_Chr4g0385581". The record is from RNAcentral. Lineage: Eukaryota; Viridiplantae; Streptophyta; Magnoliopsida; Rosales; Rosaceae.
CAGAUUAUUUGCUUCUUCUUUUUUUCUUCUUUUGUUGUCAUUUUUCUUCGUUCUCUAUCUUUAACUUCCUCUCUCCUCCAGUCGCUCUCACCUUAAACCAGAUCGAAAAACAUACAAAACACCAAACAACCAAAUCUGAAUCGUACCUUCGCCAUCCGUUUCGUCUUCCUUCUCUCUUAGCCUCUCACAUCCUGCUUCAUUUCCUAUGAAACCAAUAUUGGCCCAAAAUCCGUAAUACCCAAAUCAAAAAACCUAACACCUCAGCCCCAAAUACCUCCUCCAAUCUCACUUGCUCUCUCGACUUCUUGCUUAGCAAUCAGUUGCUUGUCGCACUCGAUUUCUGUACUUGCAAUCGAAAUCUUGUGGCUCGUUAGGUAUUUCUUGCUUUUUGGUAUAUGUUUGCAAAAUUGAAAGGGGCUUCUGGGGCGGAAGAGGACUGUGCACAUUGGGUCCAAGAAAGCUGAGAGAGGUAGUGAUGGCUCUUCUAUGGAAGGAAGAAGGUCUGG